AUUGAACGCUGGCGGCAGGCUUAACACAUGCAAGUCGAGCGAGCGGCGGACGGGUGAGUAAUGUCUGGGAAACUGCCUGAUGGAGGGGGAUAACUACUGGAAACGGUAGCUAAUACCGCAUACCAUCAGAUGUGCCCAGAUGGGAUUAGCGAGUAGGUGGGGUAAUGGCUCACCGAGGCGACGAUCUCUAGCUGGUCUGAGAGGAUGACCAGCCAAACUGGAACUGAGACACGGUCCAGACUCCUACGGGAGGCAGCAGUGGGGAAUAUUGCACAAUGGGGUCAAGCCUGAUGCAGCCAGGCCGCGUGUGUGAAGAAGGCCUUCGGGUUGUAAAGCACUUUCAGCGAGGAGGCGUUACUCGCAGAAGAAGCACCGGCUAACUCCGUGCCAGCAGCCGCGGUAAUUC
This 406-nucleotide ribosomal RNA is filed under the name uncultured bacterium. RNAcentral describes it as "partial 16S ribosomal RNA". It matches the Rfam family "Bacterial small subunit ribosomal RNA", at positions 30 to 526 of the family's 1533-position model. The record is from RNAcentral.